UACAGAGGGUGCAAGCGUUGUUCGGAAUUAUUGGGCGUAAAGCGCGUGUAGGCGGCUUUGCAAGUCGGGUGUGAAAGCCCUGGGCUCAACCCAGGAAGUGCACUCGAUACUGUCAGGCUAGAGUAUCGGAGAGGUUGGUGGAAUUCUCGGUGUAGAGGUGAAAUUCGUAGAUAUCGAGAGGAACACCGGUGGCGAAGGCGGCCAACUGGACGAAUACUGACGCUGAGACUCGAAAGCGUGGGGAGCAAACAGG
RNAcentral lists this ribosomal RNA (253 nucleotides) under uncultured bacterium. Its description in RNAcentral is "partial 16S ribosomal RNA". It matches the Rfam family "Bacterial small subunit ribosomal RNA", at positions 524 to 776 of the family's 1533-position model. The record is from RNAcentral.